RNAcentral lists this ribosomal RNA (300 nucleotides) under uncultured Salinicoccus sp. Its description in RNAcentral is "bacterial SSU rRNA". It matches the Rfam family "Bacterial small subunit ribosomal RNA", at positions 114 to 405 of the family's 1533-position model. The record is from RNAcentral. Lineage: Bacteria; Bacillati; Bacillota; Bacilli; Caryophanales; Staphylococcaceae.
CACGUAGGCAACCUGCCCAUCAGACUGGGAUAACCACGGGAAACCGUGGCUAAUACCGGAUAACCCUUUUCCACACAGGUGGGAAAGUUGAAAGGCGGUCUUUUGGCUGUCACUGAUGGAUGGGCCUGCGGCGCAUUAGCUGGUUGGUGGGGUAACGGCCCACCAAGGCGACGAUGCGUAGCCGACCUGAGAGGGUGAUCGGCCACACUGGGACUGAGACACGGCCCAGACUCCUACGGGAGGCAGCAGUAGGGAAUCUUCCGCAAUGGACGAAAGUCUGACGGAGCAACGCCGCGUGAG